AGAAAGGAAUUGACAAUAUUGGACAUACCAGAGAACACAGAGGUUAACGUCAGAAAAGCAGUACAAUUGCUUUCUUUAAGUGGUGGUCAAUGUCAUGUUCACUGCAGCUGUCGGGGUGGCUGUAAAACAGGCAAAUGUAAAUGCAAAAAAAAAUGAACUUAUUGUGUAAUUCAAGAUUCCAUGCUUCCUUGUCUUGUGCAAACAAAUAGGUUUUUUAAUCCAUUAAGCUUGACUUAUAUUUCCAAUGUAUGAUAUUAUGUAUGCAAUUUUUCGUCAUGAUGUAUGUUUAAACAUAAAUGAAUGGAGGGUACCAAUUUAUUUUUGCUUUUAACGACCAUGUCACUUUGUACCAGAAGUCCG
Molecule: long non-coding RNA, 360 nt
Filed under: Mytilus galloprovincialis (Mediterranean mussel)
Lineage: Eukaryota; Metazoa; Mollusca; Bivalvia; Mytilida; Mytilidae
Source: RNAcentral